CAGGGAUCUUUGCUUGCUUCAUUGUUUGGAGGGGAGGUGUAGGUGGGUAAUAAUUCGGUAAAUAUUUUUUGUUUAAAGUAUAGUUCCUACUUUCUUGCUAAAUUGAGCAAGCCAUUGCCCUUUUAUAGACAACUUUCCUUCUCUCAUAACAGAAAGUACUUCAGGAAUUGGACGUGAUUAUGAGUGCAGAAUAAGCUCUACCUUUGUAUAUUAAGUCAGUAUAUUCAUUACUACCUAAAGGUAGAAACAAAUGACGCCAUCUUUAGAAUAUUGCUCUUAUGUGUUAGUUGUAACCUUAAAGAUUUUGAACUUUCUCAGUUUAGGAGAUUAAAAAGUCGAAUUCUCUAAGCAUUAUCUCCAAAUAAGGUUGAUAUAUUUAUAAAAUUAAUUUUGUAUUGCCUAUGAUGACAUGUGAACAUUUUAACUGUUUAUUAAUUUUUUUCAGCCUUGAUAAAUUGCACACUGCACUUUCUGAGUUAUGCUUCUCUAUAAAUUAUGUACCAAACAUGGUGGUAUGGGAACAUACCUUUACCCCACGAGAAUAUUUGACUUCUCAUCUGGAAAUACGCUUUACCAAGUCAAUUGUUGGGAUGACUAUGUAUAAUCAAG
This 609-nucleotide small RNA is filed under the name Pan troglodytes (chimpanzee). Its description in RNAcentral is "retained intron". Lineage: Eukaryota; Metazoa; Chordata; Mammalia; Primates; Hominidae. The record is from RNAcentral.